AAUUUUAUAUUCAAUAAUGAUUUUAAAUUGCAAGUUUAAAGGUGCUUAAUGGCUGAAAUUU
Molecule: transfer RNA, 61 nt
Filed under: Saccharosydne procerus
Lineage: Eukaryota; Metazoa; Arthropoda; Insecta; Hemiptera; Delphacidae
Description: tRNA-Cys
Source: RNAcentral